GGCCCAUUAGCUCAGUCGGUUAGAGCAGGCGACUCAUAAUCGCUUGGUCUCCCGUUCAAGUCGGGAAUGGGCCACCA
This 77-nucleotide transfer RNA is filed under the name Candidatus Anaerobiospirillum pullicola. Its description in RNAcentral is "tRNA-Ile". It matches the Rfam family "tRNA". Rfam says of the family: Transfer RNA (tRNA) molecules are approximately 80 nucleotides in length. Their secondary structure includes four short double-helical elements and three loops (D, anti-codon, and T loops). The record is from RNAcentral. Lineage: Bacteria; Pseudomonadati; Pseudomonadota; Gammaproteobacteria; Aeromonadales; Succinivibrionaceae.